GGUUCACACCACCAAGGGUUUCUCUGCAGGAGGAUGGAAAAUGAGGGGAGACUUCGAUUCCCCCCCCCCCCCCGACUGCCUCUUUUCUUUGCGUAACAUUUUCUCGUUUAAUUUCCUACUUACUGAAAAGUUGCAAAAAUUCCCAGGUCCCCCUCCUCCCCAUCUUCCAAAAAUUAACAUUUCCCCAUAUUUGCUUUAUCCUUUUAUCUUUUUCUGGACCAUUUGGCAGUAAAGUGCAGACAUGAUUCCCCUUGACCCCUAAAUGCUUCCGGGUAUUUACUUCCUGAGAACAAGGGCAUUUUCUUACAUAAGCACAGCACCGUUAUCAAAGUCGGGAAAUUGACGCUGGCGCAAUGUUGCUGUCUAGCUUACUGCCCUGAUUCCGAUGUCCAGGCUUCCUUUUGGAAACUCCACUUCCACGUGCUGGAAUCCAGCAUCCCCUCCCCAGCUCCAGAAAAGGGGAGACCCCCCCACCCCCUGCAAUCCUUCCCGCUGUGGAUCCAUUUCUGGGAUGCCCCGACAUCUGAGUCCUGCUGAGGACUGAGGGGUUGGGGUGGGGGAUGAGAGAGGAGGGUCCCCGCAAGAUAAUUUGCAUUCCUGUCCUCCCCCAGCACACCCUGGGGGCCGAUUUUUGCCAAUACUGCCUGACUGGUGUAUCUCCUCCUUCCCACUCCUUACAGGAAGCUCCAGGCUAGCAAUGACACCCACCACUUGCUGAGCCCACCGGAGUACAGGAAUUUUAAGCCAGAACUUUGUCAAAUGCCUAUCUGCAAGAAAAGAGGAAAAGUACAACCCUUUAGGUAGGUACCUUCACUCUCCAAAUAAAACCAAAUGUCUUUAAGGAAGAAGGGGUAAAUGGUAGGUAACUAGCCGUUUGGAGUUGUAGUAUGGAGCCAUUGCAGACCCAAAGCCUGACCGUGGGAGGGAACUAGAAACUAGGAGGCCAAAUUAAGUGAUUUUGAAGAAGAAAUGAUUUGUUCAUCUUGUUCCCCCAAACUUGCUGCUGUGGGUCUUCCGACUUGUUUUUAGUUGGGCAUCUGGGUCAAGCCCUAGGAAUUUCAACAAAUUCCUAGUUCCUAAGCACAGCCAUCUCAGCCUCAGUUUGGGGUCAGUGGUCUCCCAGGGCAGCCGUCUUCCUGAAGAGCCCAGACCAAGAAAGGUGUAACCCCCAGGUGCUUCCUGCCUGCCCUUACCUGGGUGGUAGAAUCAGUGAUUGCCCGUCUGGGGUCAAAAGCCACAGGGCAUACCUUGGCUGACCCUGGCUGCAUUCUGUCUGUGAAGCUUUCUCUUUCACUCCCCUGGAGAGUUCGUUGCACACUGUAUCACUUACGGUCCCAGCAGGAAGCCGAAUCCAAUUCAGGCAGUAAGAAGGAUUGUAACGAAAGGCCUAUGGGAGGCCCUCGUUUUGCACCGUUCUGACAGAUAUGAAUUUCAAUUAUGGAUAAUUUCAAUUAUUUUAAAUGACGCCGGUCCCACAGCAAAAUGGUUCCAAUCUCCAUUCCACUGGUGUAUUAUUCACUCUGAGCAAUUGUCUCAAGCUUCAACGUAAGGUGUAGUUGGACUGCUGGCUCUUCAGACCGGAAAUCACUAUGUGAACAGCAGGUACGCUGUGUGAUCGGUGACCAAUCAUGUCACCUCUUUCAAGACAGACAGCAAAGUAUUCAGUCGUGUUGCCUCCUGUCUCCCACUGAUGAACCCAGGGGACAUUGUGCAAAGACGGAGACCUGAAACAGGGAACUGGCCAAUGAUGAUGAAAAUGCAGCCCAGCAAUGAACCCUAAUAAUGCAGCAGAGAAAUCUGAAUAUAGACCGGGGAGGGGGCGUGGUUAGAGAAGAAACAGCU
Felis catus (domestic cat) is the source of this 1842-nucleotide long non-coding RNA. RefSeq lists it as uncharacterized. Lineage: Eukaryota; Metazoa; Chordata; Mammalia; Carnivora; Felidae. The transcript is spliced from 2 exons. The record is from RefSeq and is a predicted model, not a curated record.